This 329-nucleotide long non-coding RNA is filed under the name Gallus gallus (chicken). The record is from RNAcentral. Lineage: Eukaryota; Metazoa; Chordata; Aves; Galliformes; Phasianidae.
GGUUGCGCAGCUGCUGGUAGAUGUGCAGGAGCUUCUCCGUGUCCUCCUUGGUCAGGGGCGAGUGGUCGCGCAGGGACUGCGCCUCCUUCAGCAGCAUCUCAUGGUUGGUCUGGAUCUGGCGCAGAUACUGCAUGCGGAGGUCAGGGGGCCCCGAGCCCUGUGCCGCCUGCUCCAACACCAGCGCCUGCAUGCGGCGGAUGACGGCGUGGUGCAUCCUGCACGUGUGAGCCAGAGAUGGGCUCUCCAUCAGGAUCUCCACCGCCUGGAUGGGGCCGGCUGGGCUGAGGUCAUUCAUGGCCACCUCUCGGAUGAUCAGCUGCACCUCUCCU